This 457-nucleotide long non-coding RNA is filed under the name Sus scrofa (pig). RNAcentral describes it as "lncRNA (ENSSSCG00070024122.1)". Lineage: Eukaryota; Metazoa; Chordata; Mammalia; Artiodactyla; Suidae. The record is from RNAcentral.
CUGGUUUAUUUCCUUCUAAGGACCUUAUAAGCUUGUAAACCAAAAGUCUUAUUUUACUACAGAUAUUUUCGGCAUAAUAUAGUUUCCAUUUUUUUAGGAGAAAACCUGCAAAGAUUUAAAGCAUCACCUUGAAGUACAGAUAGAAUGCGCACAUAAGGAACAGAAUGACCUGAAAAACUCACUUGAAAAAGAGGAGCUAAGAUUUUCUUUUUCUGUAACAAAAUAUGUUAUAGCAUAAUAAGACUUCUCAUCAGUUGAAAUUGGAGUGCAAUUCAAUGCAGGGACAACUAAUGCAGGCCCAGAAGAGUUUAAAACAAAAGGAAAAAGAAGAACAACGACUUCAGGGUAACAGAAAUGAGUUAAAGCAACUGACUGAACAGAAGAAAAAGCAAAUUGAAGCACUCCAAGGAGAGAUUAAAAGAUAGAACUUGAGAAUAAACUACAGCAGCAGUCAACA